This 253-nucleotide ribosomal RNA is filed under the name uncultured bacterium. Its description in RNAcentral is "partial 16S ribosomal RNA". It matches the Rfam family "Bacterial small subunit ribosomal RNA", at positions 524 to 776 of the family's 1533-position model. The record is from RNAcentral.
UACGGGGGGGGCAAGCGUUGUUCGGAAUUACUGGGCGUAAAGGGCUCGUAGGUGGCCAACUAAGUCAGACGUGAAAUCCCUCGGCUUAACCGGGGAACUGCGUCUGAUACUGGAUGGCUUGAGUUCGGGAGAGGGAUGCGGAAUUCCAGGUGUAGCGGUGAAAUGCGUAGAUAUCUGGAGGAACACCGGUGGCGAAGGCGAGUCCCUGGUCCGCUUCUGACGCUGAGGCGCGAAAGCGUGGGUAGCAAACAGG